RNAcentral lists this unclassified non-coding RNA (410 nucleotides) under Ourisia sp. Garnock-Jones 2387. RNAcentral's name for it is "partial external transcribed spacer". The record is from RNAcentral. Lineage: Eukaryota; Viridiplantae; Streptophyta; Magnoliopsida; Lamiales; Plantaginaceae.
CGCGCAGCGACGAUCAUCUCGUGCAACGCCUUYUCAUUCGUUGGUUCAAGUGCGCUUUUGCCUUGGCCGUGCUUGGUUUUCUGUGUUGCAUACCUAUCGUGAAGGCAUUUGUUCGUUGAAAAAUUAUAUCAUCCAUCAAGAGCCUCCUCCCUCGGGAAAGAGGAAUCUUGUGGAACCUAAAGCAGAUAAUUUGUCCCACGUCCCUUGCACUCGUUGUGCUGURGACAGUGGAACAUUCUUGCUUGCUCGAUCUUUUGGGUGCGGUAUACACAGUGGGUAAGAGGCCUMCAGCCUCAAUUSAUCCCAUAAUAAAAAAAGCGUUCGACGCUUCAUGCGAACGACUGYUGUUGUCGUUUUGGCCCGCGACCUAGUGUCUMGUGUCAUGCGAUAGCGGCGUCGGUGAGGAAUGC